UCUUUUUCCCGCCCACCGAGCUGAGCGCCUGAGCCUUUGCUCCAGGGAGGAAGUAGUGCCCUCUGCCCCCCUGUUUGUGUCAUUGGCUGCCUCACCCUCACCAGCAGGAGGGGGGCAAACGUGGCACCCUGGGCCCCGUCCCAGUUAGCUGAGCUGUGUAUCUUUAAUCCCUAGGGAUUAAAGAGGUCAGAGGCUCAUGCUAUUUCCUGACCCCUUCCUGCCAGGUCCUAUAUUCUCUGGGGUCUGGAGCCCUCUGAAGUGGCUGUAGGUGCAGAGACCACUGUCCAGGGAAAGAGCAGUUUGAGCAAGGUCACCAGCGGAUGCCUAAAGAUGACCUGGUGAGGGAGAGGAGCUGAGAAAAGGAUUACACACCAAAUACCUGGGAGGACACUGUGGGUUGCCCGUCAGCCCCUAUGCCAGUGUCUCAGGGAGAGUGAGUAGAAGGGUUCCUGGCACAAGCUCUGGAAGUGUGGCUGUAAUGAAGAUGAUGGCAAGGAUGAAGAUGAGGACAGCAAGGCUGGAGCUCAAGUGCCAUCCUGGGUCCUGGAGUAGAAGCCACAUGUUGAGAACAGUCUGGAUCCUUAGCGAGGGUUGAGCCAUGACACCAGCCCAUGACUGUUUGCCCCUUGAGCUUGUUUACAGAAGAAGAAAAACUCACCUUGUUUAAAACACCA
Molecule: long non-coding RNA, 674 nt
Organism: Callithrix jacchus (white-tufted-ear marmoset)
Lineage: Eukaryota; Metazoa; Chordata; Mammalia; Primates; Cebidae
Source: RefSeq, a predicted model, not a curated record